This 439-nucleotide ribosomal RNA is filed under the name uncultured bacterium. RNAcentral describes it as "partial 16S ribosomal RNA". It matches the Rfam family "Bacterial small subunit ribosomal RNA", at positions 339 to 795 of the family's 1533-position model. The record is from RNAcentral.
CUACGGGUCGCUGCAGUGAGGAAUAUUGCACAAUGGGGGGAACCCUGAUGCAGCAACGCCGCGUGGAGGAUGACGCAUUUCGGUGUGUAAACUCCUUUUAUAUGUCAAGAAAAUGACGGUAGCAUAUGAGUAAGCACCGGCUAACUCCGUGCCAGCAGCCGCGGUAAUACGGAGGGUGCAAGCGUUACUCGGAAUCACUGGGCGUAAAGGACGCGUAGGCGGGUUGGAAAGUCAGGUGUGAAAUCCUACAGCUUAACUGUAGAACUGCACUUGAAACUUCUAAUCUAGAGUAUGGGAGGGGUAGAUGGAAUUAGUGGUGUAGGGGUAAAAUCCGUAGAUAUCACUAGGAAUACCUAAAGCGAAGGCGAUCUCCUGGAACAUUACUGACGCUAAGGCGUGAAAGCGUGGGGAGCAAACAGGAUUAGAUACCCUCGUAGUC